Molecule: long non-coding RNA, 629 nt
Organism: Onychostoma macrolepis
Lineage: Eukaryota; Metazoa; Chordata; Actinopteri; Cypriniformes; Cyprinidae
Exons: 4
Source: RefSeq, a predicted model, not a curated record
UCUACGGCCACUGGGCAUGCACACAUCAAUAUUGCGUAAUUUUUGUCACACUGAACAACAAUAAUGACUGUAUUUGCAUUAUUGCAAUCGGGAAUCAUUUGAUUUAGAUCGGAACUUCGGAGCGGAAUAACAAGGCCAAAGCCGCGUUCACCUCCAAAAACGAGGAAGCACCAGCAGGCCAUUUCACAGCCAGAAGCUACUGGAGGUCCGGAGAUCUUGUGUGCCGGAGCAGAUGCAGACUCUUACUGCGCGAACGGGAAAUCAACAACAAGCACUUACUCAAAAAUAUGAAGGAAAUCUGCCUGGCAAAACUACAUCUAUCUCGCCAGUUCAUCAGCGCAGGAUUGAGCCCAUUUCCUUCCAUCUUGCGCCAGGUCAAUUAAAUCCGGCAUGGGCCGCCGUUUGUGCUCAAAUCAUUUGAGACUUCCAGCCCGGCUUACGAGAGGAAGGCUUGACGCCGCACCUGAGAGCGACGCACACCUGGGAUCGGGGAAAACUGAGGGCCGAUGUUUGUGAGAGACGUCUCCAGUCGACGCUUCAAGAAUUCCUCAAGUCAGAGCGAAAAGCCCCUGCUGAGCCUCAAAUGCCUGAACAUCCGACUCAAAAUCAAACCUACAAUCUAGUUCAUA